This 159-nucleotide ribosomal RNA is filed under the name Rinodina lecanorina. RNAcentral's name for it is "5.8S ribosomal RNA". It matches the Rfam family "5.8S ribosomal RNA". From Rfam's summary of the family: 5.8S ribosomal RNA (5.8S rRNA) is a component of the large subunit of the eukaryotic ribosome. It is transcribed by RNA polymerase I as part of the 45S precursor that also contains 18S and 28S rRNA. Functionally, it is thought that 5.8S rRNA may be involved in ribosome translocation. The record is from RNAcentral. RNAcentral also lists the same sequence under 2 other names. Lineage: Eukaryota; Fungi; Ascomycota; Lecanoromycetes; Caliciales; Physciaceae.
AAAACUUUCAACAACGGAUCUCUUGGUUCCGGCAUCGAUGAAGAACGCAGCGAAAUGCGAAAAGUAAUGUGAAUUGCAGAAUUCCGUGAAUCAUCGAAUCUUUGAACGCACAUUGCGCCCUUUGGUAUUCCGAAGGGCAUGCCUGUUCGAGCGUCAUUG